Molecule: ribosomal RNA, 1423 nt
Filed under: Salmonella enterica subsp. enterica serovar Thompson
Lineage: Bacteria; Pseudomonadati; Pseudomonadota; Gammaproteobacteria; Enterobacterales; Enterobacteriaceae
Description: bacterial SSU rRNA
Rfam family: Bacterial small subunit ribosomal RNA
Source: RNAcentral
CUGCCUGAUGGAGGGGGAUAACUACUGGAAACGGUGGCUAAUACCGCAUAACGUCGCAAGACCAAAGAGGGGGACCUUCGGGCCUCUUGCCAUCAGAUGUGCCCAGAUGGGAUUAGCUAGUUGGUGAGGUAACGGCUCACCAAGGCGACGAUCCCUAGCUGGUCUGAGAGGAUGACCAGCCACACUGGAACUGAGACACGGUCCAGACUCCUACGGGAGGCAGCAGUGGGGAAUAUUGCACAAUGGGCGCAAGCCUGAUGCAGCCAUGCCGCGUGUAUGAAGAAGGCCUUCGGGUUGUAAAGUACUUUCAGCGGGGAGGAAGGUGUUGUGGUUAAUAACCGCAGCAAUUGACGUUACCCGCAGAAGAAGCACCGGCUAACUCCGUGCCAGCAGCCGCGGUAAUACGGAGGGUGCAAGCGUUAAUCGGAAUUACUGGGCGUAAAGCGCACGCAGGCGGUCUGUCAAGUCGGAUGUGAAAUCCCCGGGCUCAACCUGGGAACUGCAUUCGAAACUGGCAGGCUUGAGUCUUGUAGAGGGGGGUAGAAUUCCAGGUGUAGCGGUGAAAUGCGUAGAGAUCUGGAGGAAUACCGGUGGCGAAGGCGGCCCCCUGGACAAAGACUGACGCUCAGGUGCGAAAGCGUGGGGAGCAAACAGGAUUAGAUACCCUGGUAGUCCACGCCGUAAACGAUGUCUACUUGGAGGUUGUGCCCUUGAGGCGUGGCUUCCGGAGCUAACGCGUUAAGUAGACCGCCUGGGGAGUACGGCCGCAAGGUUAAAACUCAAAUGAAUUGACGGGGGCCCGCACAAGCGGUGGAGCAUGUGGUUUAAUUCGAUGCAACGCGAAGAACCUUACCUGGUCUUGACAUCCACAGAACUUUCCAGAGAUGGAUUGGUGCCUUCGGGAACUGUGAGACAGGUGCUGCAUGGCUGUCGUCAGCUCGUGUUGUGAAAUGUUGGGUUAAGUCCCGCAACGAGCGCAACCCUUAUCCUUUGUUGCCAGCGGUUAGGCCGGGAACUCAAAGGAGACUGCCAGUGAUAAACUGGAGGAAGGUGGGGAUGACGUCAAGUCAUCAUGGCCCUUACGACCAGGGCUACACACGUGCUACAAUGGCGCAUACAAAGAGAAGCGACCUCGCGAGAGCAAGCGGACCUCAUAAAGUGCGUCGUAGUCCGGAUUGGAGUCUGCAACUCGACUCCAUGAAGUCGGAAUCGCUAGUAAUCGUGGAUCAGAAUGCCACGGUGAAUACGUUCCCGGGCCUUGUACACACCGCCCGUCACACCAUGGGAGUGGGUUGCAAAAGAAGUAGGUAGCUUAACCUUCGGGAGGGCGCUUACCACUUUGUGAUUCAUGACUGGGGUGAAGUCGUAACAAGGUAACCGUAGGGGAACCUGCGGUUGGAUCACCUCCUUACCUUAAAGAAGC